CACGUAGGUGGCAAGCGUUAUCCGGAAUUACUGGGCGUAAAGGGUCCGCAGGUGGGAUGGUAAGUCUGAUGUGACAGCGCCCGGCUCAACUGGGCGUGGCCAUUGGAAACUGCCGUUCUUGAGUCACGAAGAGGGGUGCGGAAUUCCGGGUGUAGUGGUGGAAUGCGUAGAGAUCCGGAGGAACACCAAAGGCGCAAGCAGCACCCUGGGCGAGGACUGACACUGAGGGACGAAAGCAUGGGGAGCAAACAGG
Molecule: ribosomal RNA, 253 nt
Filed under: uncultured bacterium
Lineage: Bacteria
Description: partial 16S ribosomal RNA
Rfam family: Bacterial small subunit ribosomal RNA
Source: RNAcentral